GCAAGUCGAGCGGAAACGAUGGGAGCUUGCUCCCAGGCGUCGAGCGGCGGACGGGUGAGUAACGCGUAGGAACCUGCCUGAUAGAGGGGGAUAGCCCAGAGAAAUUUGGAUUAAUACCGCAUAAUGUCGAAAGACCAAAGCGGGGGACCUUCGGGCCUCGCGCUAUCAGAUGGGCCUGCGUGAGAUUAGCUAGUUGGUACGGUAAUGGCGUACCAAGGCGACGAUCUCUAGCUGGUCUGAGAGGAUGAUC
RNAcentral lists this ribosomal RNA (250 nucleotides) under uncultured bacterium. Its description in RNAcentral is "partial 16S ribosomal RNA". It matches the Rfam family "Bacterial small subunit ribosomal RNA", at positions 57 to 305 of the family's 1533-position model. The record is from RNAcentral.